CCGAGUUUACAACUCCCAAACCCCUGUGAACAUAUCCAAACCGUUUCUUCGGCGGGUCGACCCGGGCGCCGCGUGCCCCGGACCAAGUCGCCCGCCGGGGACCACAGACCCAUCAUCAGCGUAUCUUCUGAGUGGCUUAAAGCAAACAAUCA
RNAcentral lists this unclassified non-coding RNA (152 nucleotides) under uncultured Bionectriaceae. Its description in RNAcentral is "sequence contains ITS1". The record is from RNAcentral. Lineage: Eukaryota; Fungi; Ascomycota; Sordariomycetes; Hypocreales.